Molecule: ribosomal RNA, 254 nt
Filed under: uncultured bacterium
Lineage: Bacteria
Description: partial 16S ribosomal RNA
Rfam family: Bacterial small subunit ribosomal RNA
Source: RNAcentral
UACAGAGGUGCCGAGCGUUAGGCGGAAUCACUGGGCUUAAAGCGCGUGUAGGCGGGUCGUUAAGUGUCCGCGUGAAAUCCCACGGCUCAACCGUGGAACUGCCGGGCAUACUGGCGACCUUGAGGCACUCAGGGGCGAGCGGAACAAAUGGUGGAGCGGUGAAAUGCGUAGAUAUCUGGAGGAACACCGGUGGCGAAGGCGGUUCUCUGGGCCUGUACUGACGCUGAGGAGCGAAAGCGUGGGGAGCGAACAGG